RNAcentral lists this long non-coding RNA (586 nucleotides) under Homo sapiens (human). RNAcentral's name for it is "HSALNT0277391". Lineage: Eukaryota; Metazoa; Chordata; Mammalia; Primates; Hominidae. The record is from RNAcentral.
UAAAUAACUCCCCAGGGUCACCUGUCUACAGCUGGGGGAGACAGAAGUUGAACCCAGACGGUCCUGAAUCCAAGGCUCAGAGGUUCAACUCCUGCUGUCCGCUGUUCAGGUGAAGUCAGGGGAAUGGACUCAGGGUAGCCAGGCUGGCUGUGUGGUCUGCCCAAGGCAUGGGUGACAGCAGCAGAAGACAGAGCGGGGAGGUCAGUGUAAAGGCAGAGGGAUGGGCAGGGCCUCUGCCAGCCCUUGACCUCCUGGAGAAGCCAGUGAGGCUGACCUGGGGGCCUUCCCUGGGACAUGUCCCUCAUCCUUCCUCUACUCGAGGAGCCCAACAAGAUACAUGCUUGUGCCUGAGGGUAGGGUUGUUAGACUUCCCUGCAUCAGCACCUUGUCUUUUAAGCAAGAGAGCUGGAGAGGGCCAUGCUUAACCCAGAGAAAUAAGUCACUAGUGCCAUGUCAUUCUCCUUUUUUUUUUUUUUUUUUUGAGACAGAGUCUUGCCCAGGCUGGAGUGCAGUGGCAUGAUCUCGGCUCACUGCAACCUCCGCCUCCCGGGUUCAAGCGAUUCUUCUGCCUCAGCCUCCCGAGUAG